This 460-nucleotide ribosomal RNA is filed under the name uncultured bacterium. Its description in RNAcentral is "partial 16S ribosomal RNA". It matches the Rfam family "Bacterial small subunit ribosomal RNA", at positions 338 to 795 of the family's 1533-position model. The record is from RNAcentral.
CCUACGGGAGGCAGCAGUGAGGAAUAUUGGUCAAUGGGCGCGAGCCUGAACCAGCCAAGUAGCGUGAAGGAUGACUGCCCUACGGGUUGUAAACUUCUUUUAUAAAGGAAUAAAGUGAGGCACGUGUGCCUUUUUGUAUGUACUUUAUGAAUAAGGAUCGGCUAACUCCGUGCCAGCAGCCGCGGUAAUACGGAGGAUCCGAGCGUUAUCCGGAUUUAUUGGGUUUAAAGGGAGAGUAGAUGGGUUGUUAAGUCAGUUGUGAAAGUUUGCGGCUCAACCGGAAAAUUGCAAUUGAUACUGGCAGCCUUGAGUACAGUAGAGGUAGGCGGAAUUCGAGGUGUAGCGGUGAAAUGCGUAGAGAUCACGAAGAAUACCGAUUGCGAAGGCAGCUUACUAAACGGCCACUGACAUUGAUGCGCGAAAGUGUGGGGAUCAAACAGGAUUAGAUACCCUUGUAGUC